This 262-nucleotide ribosomal RNA is filed under the name uncultured bacterium. RNAcentral describes it as "partial 16S ribosomal RNA". It matches the Rfam family "Bacterial small subunit ribosomal RNA", at positions 793 to 1055 of the family's 1533-position model. The record is from RNAcentral.
GUCCACGCCCUAAACGAUGUCUACUAGUUGUCGGGUCUUAAUUGACUUGGUAACGCAGCUAACGCGUGAAGUAGACCGCCUGGGGAGUACGGUCGCAAGAUUAAAACUCAAAGGAAUUGACGGGGACCCGCACAAGCGGUGGAUGAUGUGGAUUAAUUCGAUGCAACGCGAAAAACCUUACCAAGUCUUGACAUCCCGGUGACCGGACAGCAAUGUGUCCUUUUCUUCGGAACACCGGUGACAGGUGGUGCAUGGUUGUCGU